RNAcentral lists this long non-coding RNA (1263 nucleotides) under Gouania willdenowi (blunt-snouted clingfish). Its description in RNAcentral is "lncRNA (ENSGWIG00000018030.1)". The record is from RNAcentral. Lineage: Eukaryota; Metazoa; Chordata; Actinopteri; Blenniiformes; Gobiesocidae.
CAGUUUGGCCUGAAACUUUUUUUAACAGCUUCCACAUAGUGGUGUAACAAUACAUUGAUCCACAUCAAUUAAUUAAUUAACGAUCCAUUUACAUUGAUGCACAAUGAAGACAUGGAUGAACAUCGUCAUCUUUAAGAUACACCUUUAUUUUGAAAUAAACAUACGUCCCUGCCACUAUUUCCUGGUUGGAAAUAGACUGUAGCUCCGGUGUUAGCCCCGCCCCAUCGCGACCAAUAAAUGAAUGAUGAACCUUUUCCAUCAGUGUUAUAUGGUUGGGUUUAGAUCUUAACUUGUCAUGUGGCAGUAGAUUAAUGCCCUACAUUACCUACAUGACAUGUGACCUUUCAUCUACAAUAGUUUAAAGUAGGGAUGUUCCAUUCUGAUAUAGAUAUCUGAUACUAGUCCAAUAUUAGCAAAAAACUAUUAUCACAUUAUAUAGGCCUGCAUCUAAAAUGUGUGAUAUAAACACUCUGAUCUAAUCAGUUCAUUCCAUACUCCGCUCCAGCUUUUCUAAUUAAUAGGUCAGUUUUUUUCUUUUUCUUUUUUUCCUCAACGUUGCAGAAUCGGUAAAGUUAAACUGUUUCCACUGAAGACCUUCAUUUUCCUCCACAUCAUGUGAUCUCUGAACAAACUGAUAGUUUUAGUCAAUUUCAAAGUGAUGACACUGCAAAGGAUGGAUGAAUAUUUCUAGAUCCUUCAUGUUCAUUCUGUCUCUUCCAUCCUUCAGGUGGAGCUGAUUCCAUGCUGAUGUUACAGGUGAAUGGAGGAUUGUGGAACCACUCAGCCGUGACAGCAAACAUGGACUCCUCAGAAAAGUUCCCUAUUGGUGUUCAGCUGCAGCUGAGGGGAGGGGCUUCACGUGUGUCUGUUUAUGUCUGCAGCAGUGAAUGAAGUUGUCAAUUGAAACAGGUGAGGGGGAAAAAACUAGAGAUGAACCAUAGAUAUAUUAAGAGAUGGACAUGGUGCUGUUAGUAUCGAUACCUUUGCGAGAAAGUAUAGUAUCCGAUACUAACUUUUUGGUAUUGACACUUUAUUUAGUUUUUUGACAACACUAUUCUUACCAGUGGGAAAGUUCUUGAUGAUAUAUCUCUGCUAAUCACGUCCGUAACGUGCAUACAGCUCUGAGCACAGAUAUAUAGAAGGUAGAUGAACCACUCCUCAUGAAAAAACAAUGUUCAGCUCCAUCCACAGUAUGAAAAAAAUGAUUGAACCAUGAAGAAAACACAUUUAAAAUAAAUACACAAGUGAGGGGAGGGGGGUGCA